RNAcentral lists this long non-coding RNA (467 nucleotides) under Capsicum annuum. RNAcentral's name for it is "long non-coding RNA (CANN_LNC011013)". Lineage: Eukaryota; Viridiplantae; Streptophyta; Magnoliopsida; Solanales; Solanaceae. The record is from RNAcentral.
CAUCUCUUUUCUUCUGUUUCUCCUUUUCUGCUCUCCGCAACCUCUCUUCUUUCACAAAAUUAACAAUGUUCUUGAACGACUCCUCCAGCCUAAACGUGCGCUCUUCCAGAUUCUGAUCAUCGGUGUCUUUUCUGAUGCUCUCAGCUUACUUGUCCUCGCACCGCGAGUGACAUGCCUUGAAAUAGCAUUUCCACCCAAAUCUCGGUCAUCAUACCCGUCAUCACCAUUCUCCGAUGAGGUGAUGACAGUCACACCCUCCAGAUUGGCCUUCAAGCUAUAAUUGUAUGUGUCUUUCGAUUUAUCCAUGAAUGCUUUGAAAUUUUUCAUGUAGUGUUGCUUCAUUUCAGGGACUGUGGGGAUAAGGUACGGGUGCACUCUCUACAGAUAAAUAGGCAAAUGUGAUUAUUAAGCAAUACAAUAUUGGUAAAAGUAUUCUUCGAAAAAAUAAUUUCAUACCUUUGUGCUCC